UACGGAGGGUGCAAGCGUUAUCCGGAUUUACUGGGUUUAAAGGGUGUGUAGGCGGGCUUUUAAGUCAGUGGUGAAAUCUCCGGGCUCAACCUGGAAACUGCCAUUGAUACUAUUAGUCUUGAAUUUUGUUGAGGUAGGCGGAAUAAGUCAUGUAGCGGUGAAAUGCAUAGAUAUGACUUAGAACACCAAUUGCGAAGGCAGCUUGCUAAACAAAUAUUGACGCUGAGGCACGAAAGCGUGGGGAGUCAAACAGG
This 254-nucleotide ribosomal RNA is filed under the name uncultured bacterium. RNAcentral's name for it is "partial 16S ribosomal RNA". It matches the Rfam family "Bacterial small subunit ribosomal RNA", at positions 524 to 776 of the family's 1533-position model. The record is from RNAcentral.